GCGACAAGAGACAGAUGGUGUUGUGAAGGAAUGGCUGUCGAAGCUCAAAGACGCAGCUUAUGAUACUGAGGAUUUAUUGGAUGAGCUCGCAUCAGAAAUCAUACUGUGUGAGGGGAGAAGUAGCAUUCGAGAUCAGCUCAAUUAGCAAUAGAGAGACUAUCUCUUUAGUGAUUGAAUCUGAGGUGUAUGGAAGAAGGGAAGAUAAAGAAAAGAUUAUAGAGCUUCUGCAAACCACCAGCAAUGGGGAAAACAUAGGAGCUGAUGUUCCAAUCAUUUCAAUUGUUGGAAUAGGAGGCCUAGGCAAGACAACAUUAGCUCAAUUGGUCUACGGUAAUGUUGAUUCGAUGGGUUGCUUUGAUAUGAAAAUAUGGGUGUAUGUGUCUAAUGAUUUUGAUAUUAAAAAGAUUAUUACAGCCAUUAUAGAGUCUGCAACCCUGAGGAAAUGUGAAUUUACAAAUUUGGAGAUACUUUAUCGUCAGCUGCGGGAAUCUUUAUGCGGGAAGAGGUAUCUACUGGUUUUGGAUGAUAUAUGGAAUGAAGAUCAAUAUAAAUGGCAAAGAUUUCGAACUUUACUAAAAGGUGGUGUGAAAGGAAGCAAGAUAAUAGUCACCACUCGAAGUGACAAAGUUGCAUCAAUAGUAGGAACUUCCUCAUAUCAUCUCAAGGGCUUGGCUGAGGAUGAUUCUUGGGCUUUGUUUAAGCAGCACGCUUUUGGUCUGGGAGAAGAGGAAGGUCAUCCUAAUUUGUUGCCAAUUGGAAAACAAAUUGUUAAGAAAUGUGGAGGCGUGCCACUAGCAGCACGGACUCUGGGAAGUUUAUUGCGCUUCAGAAGAGAGGAGAAUUACUGGUUGUAUGUGAAAGAGAGUGAACUUUGCGAAAUGGAUGACGGCCAAAGUGGAAUUUUGCCGACCCUAAGAUUGAGUUAUAGUCUGUUGCGACCACAUCUCAAACGAUGCUUUGCAUACUGUUCACUGUUUCCGAAAAGUUAUGAGUUCAAGAAGGAGAAGUUAAUCCAUCUUUGGAUGGCAGAAGGCUUGAUUAUAGCAAAUAAAGAGCGUAGGCCGUUAGAAGACAUUGGAAAUGAUUAUUUUAAUGAACUAUUGUGCUUGUCCUUCUUUCAGGAAGUUAACGAAAGUAUAGAUGACGGCAUGAAAGUUUACAGAAUGCAUGAUCUCAUUCGUGAUCUUGCCCAAUCUGUUGCUGGGAAUGAAUUCUUAAAACUAGAGCAUGCCCCUACUCCAAGUAAUCUUGCAAAAACUCGUCACUCAUCAAUACUUUCCAAUUUUCAACCAUCUAUAGUCCCACCAGCCUUGCUGACAGCAAAACGCCUCAGAACCUUGCUUUUGUUGUCUCCUGGAGUCGGCUCUGGGGAGGUUCCUUCUUUUUCACCCACUGAUUUCAUGUACUUGAGGGUGCUAGAUCUAAGUUGUUGAGGAAUCAAAAGAUUGCAGACAUUGAUAGGGAAUUUGAUCCAUUUGAGAUACCUUGACCUCUCCAAUACUUCAAUUCAAGAACUCCCUGACACAAUCUGUGACCUCUUGAAUUUGCAGACGCUGAACCUCUCAGGUUGCUUCCAACUUCUGAAGCUGCCUGAUAGCAUGGGAAAGUUGAUCAACCUAAGACACCUUAAUAUAUCUGGAUGUGUAAGAUUGACCCAUAUGCCAACCGGGAUUGGAAAGUUGGUUCACAUUCAGACAUGGCCAAUAUACAUUGUGGGCAAGGGAAAUGGGGAAAGCAUUGCAGAACUCAGCUGUCUAAACCUAAGGGGUGAACUUAACAUUAAAUGCUUGGAGAAUGUGAGAGAUGCAGAAGAAGCAAAGAGUGCUAAUUUGAAAGAGAAGCACCUUCACGUUUUGGGGUUAUUUUGGGGAGAUGAUAAUGGGAACAUGGGAUUGGAAAAUGACACUGAAAGCCUACACUCAACAGGAUCGUCACUUGGAGAUGACAGUGAUGCUCGUUCAAGAGAAGUGGAAGAUAUUCUAGAAUGCCUUGAACCACAUCCAAAUCUAAAAAAGCUUUUCAUCAAAGGGUAUCCGGGCAUCAGGUUUCCGAAUUGGCUACUUCCAAGUUUGACUGGGGUUGUACUGACGAAUUUCAAAAGAUGUAAAGCUUUACCCACCCUUGGGCAGCUUCCAUUUCUUAAGAAUCUAUACCUGCAAGCAAUGGAAGGCAUUGAGUGCAUUGGCCAAGACUUCUAUGGCAGAGACAUCCAGGCGCCAUUCCCUUCUCUCAAAGAACUAACCCUCAGAGAUUUUCCUAAGUUGAAAGAAUGGUGUGGCAGUAAUGGCAAACAAGUACUUCCUUGCCUGGAAAAACUGACUGUAAAUAAAUGUCCAAACCUGACUUCAGCGCCAGUCCUUCCAUCUCUUCAACAAUUGGAGUUGCAAUGUUGCCAUCCAUUGCUCAUAAAAUCCAUGGAAAAUCUAACCUCACUCUCCAUUCUUGUGAUUGAUAAUUUCCCUCAAUUGUCACUCUUAUCAGGAGACCUGUUAAAAAACAAUAUUCUUCUCACCUCUUUGAAGAUUAGCUCAUGCCCUAAUCUUUCUUUGCUGCCUUUGGAAAUAGAGAAUCUCACUGCUCUAAAAUCACUGACCAUAUGUUGGUGUGAGGAGCUUGAAUCUUUGCCACAAGGAUUGCAAAACCUUAAAUCACUGGAGUCUUUGGAAAUCUAUGAAUGCCAUAAGAUUACCUCUUUGCCAGAGGAUGGUAUUCAAGGUUUGAGCUCCCUAAGAACUUUGUCCAUUGAGAACUGUGAUAAUCUGUCUUCUUUAUCAACCGGACUGCAAUACCUCAGUGCACUUGAGCACUUGACCAUUAUGUACUGCCCAGAAUUAACUUCUCUGCCAGAUGAUUUGCGCAACCUGUCAGCCCUUCGAAGUUUGAGCAUUUUGGAUUGUCCUAGUCUGGUUUGUCUGCCAGAGGGGCUACCUCAUGUUAAUACAUUGCAAACUUUGGAAAUUCGUGGCUGUCCUCUCCUUACAGAUUUUACUGAAUGGGUUCACAAUUUUUCUUCACUGAGAUCAUUGUCAAUUUCAGAUUGCAAUAAUUUGACUUCGCUUCCAGAAGGAUUGCUAUUUUGCAAUACACUCCAGCACCUGUCCAUUCAAGAGUGCCCUAAUCUGGAGGAGUGGUGGAAGCAUAAGAGAAGAAUGGACGGGCAGAAGAUGGCUAACAUCUCGCAUAUCUACAUUGGGUCACCAGAAUUCAGGAAAUAACUUAAGAGCAGGCAACUAUUCAGGUUAAACAAGAACUUUCUUUGUUAUGCAACAUGUACUCACCGUUUCUGCUAUGUCAUUAAUGUUUUGAUUUCUGGACA
This is an RNA transcript of Alnus glutinosa, 3316 nucleotides long. It is a transcript of the gene named putative disease resistance protein RGA3, with no coding region annotated. The transcript has 3 exons. NCBI's taxonomy places the organism in Eukaryota, Viridiplantae, Streptophyta, Magnoliopsida, Fagales, Betulaceae. The record is from RefSeq and is a predicted model, not a curated record.